AAAUUGAAGAGUUUGAUCAUGGCUCAGAUUGAACGCUGGCGGCAGGCCUAACACAUGCAAGUCGAACGGUAACAGGAAGAAGCUUGCUUCUUUGCUGACGAGUGGCGGACGGGUGAGUAAUGUCUGGGAAACUGCCUGAUGGAGGGGGAUAACUACUGGAAACGGUAGCUAAUACCGCAUAACGUCGCAAGACCAAAGAGGGGGACCUUCGGGCCUCUUGCCAUCGGAUGUGCCCAGAUGGGAUUAGCUUGUUGGUGGGGUAACGGCUCACCAAGGCGACGAUCCCUAGCUGGUCUGAGAGGAUGACCAGCCACACUGGAACUGAGACACGGUCCAGACUCCUACGGGAGGCAGCAGUGGGGAAUAUUGCACAAUGGGCGCAAGCCUGAUGCAGCCAUGCCGCGUGUAUGAAGAAGGCCUUCGGGUUGUAAAGUACUUUCAGCG
This 444-nucleotide ribosomal RNA is filed under the name Escherichia coli. Its description in RNAcentral is "bacterial SSU rRNA". It matches the Rfam family "Bacterial small subunit ribosomal RNA", at positions 1 to 441 of the family's 1533-position model. Lineage: Bacteria; Pseudomonadati; Pseudomonadota; Gammaproteobacteria; Enterobacterales; Enterobacteriaceae. The record is from RNAcentral.